This 253-nucleotide ribosomal RNA is filed under the name uncultured bacterium. RNAcentral describes it as "partial 16S ribosomal RNA". It matches the Rfam family "Bacterial small subunit ribosomal RNA", at positions 524 to 776 of the family's 1533-position model. The record is from RNAcentral.
UACAGAGGUCUCAAGCGUUGUUCGGAUUCAUUGGGCGUAAAGGGUGCGUAGGUGGCGCGAUAAGUCGGGUGUGAAAUCUCGGAGCUUAACUCCGAAAUUGCAUUCGAUACUGCCGUGCUCGAGGACUGGAGAGGAGACUGGAAUUCAUGGUGUAGCAGUGAAAUGCGUAGAGAUCAUGAGGAAGACCAGUGGCGAAGGCGGGUCACUGGACCGGCAUUGACGCUGAGGUGCGAAAGCGUGGGGAGCAAACAGG